AUAGCAGAUGCCAUCAGAUAAUUUCUCCAAAUCCUCUGAGGUUGGUUUUUUGUUGGUUUUUGUUUUGUUUUGGGUUUUGUUUUUUUUUCAGAUGAUUGUUCUGUAUUAUUCAAGUAUGCUUUGGUGAUGAGAAUUAUAAACCUUGUCUUUUGUCUUUUCCCUUAGAAAUACAGAGUAAAGCACUUCACCAAAAGUCUACCCAAACCACAUAUGCUUAAAACUAAUUUUUUUUGUGACUCUAUGCUCCACACUGGAUUUUAAAGAAAAAGUUUAGCAUCACCUCAGAGACACCAGCCUGUGAAUCAAUAUGUAAAUAACCACCACCAAUUACCCCUUGAAGGCUGCAAAUGAAAAUGUUGCAUGCUGAGAUUAUUCAAAUUCUCAACAGGAAGAGAGGCAGAGGGUCUUCAGUGGAAAAGAAUUUCACCAGUAAAUCAUUCUUUGAGGAAGAAAUCCAACAUUUUGAAGUGAUUCUGCUAGAAUGAUAUCCACAUUCCUUAAUUUUAACUACUGCAGAUGUUGUUUACCAUAUCUCUACCUCCCAAGCCCAUCCUACAAAACAGUCACUCUGUGUUGGAAACAGAAAUUACAUCCUCUAAGAAUUUCCAUAUUGGCAGAGGAAAUUUAACUCCCUGCAUGAUUAAUGGCCCAGGCAGUGCUCUAUCAAACACAGAGUGUGCACUGGGGUGUUGGAUGCCUCUGACAGCCCAGGAGUGAUGAUCCUUGGGAGGGAUGCAAAGCAGACCGUGACAGAAUUGCCGUUGCCGACGCCUCCUGCCACAUCAAUAAAACGGCGGCGCACAACA
This 806-nucleotide long non-coding RNA is filed under the name Cyanistes caeruleus (blue tit). RNAcentral's name for it is "lncRNA (ENSCCEG00000000967.1)". Lineage: Eukaryota; Metazoa; Chordata; Aves; Passeriformes; Paridae. The record is from RNAcentral.